Molecule: non-coding RNA, 351 nt
Organism: Oncorhynchus mykiss (rainbow trout)
Lineage: Eukaryota; Metazoa; Chordata; Actinopteri; Salmoniformes; Salmonidae
Source: RefSeq, a predicted model, not a curated record
CUGUAGGUCAUUACCCUCUCCCUGUAGGUCCUUACCCUCUCCCUGUAGGUCAUUACCCUCUUCCUGUAGGUCCUUACUCUCUCCCUGUAGGUCCUUCCCCUCCCUGUAGGUCCAUGUCCUUACCCUCUUCCUGUAGGUCCUUACCCUCUCCCUGUAGGUCCUUACCCUCUCCCGAUAGGUCCUUACCCUCUUCCUAUAGGUCCUUACCCUCUCCCUGUAGGUCCUUACCCUCUCCCUGUAGGUCCUUGCCCUCCCUGUAGGUCCAUGUCCUUACCCUCUUCCUGUAGGUCCUUACCCUCUCCCUGUAGGUCCUUACCCUCUCCCUAUAGGUCCUUACCCUCUCCCUAUAGG